RNAcentral lists this ribosomal RNA (495 nucleotides) under uncultured bacterium. RNAcentral's name for it is "partial 16S ribosomal RNA". It matches the Rfam family "Bacterial small subunit ribosomal RNA", at positions 28 to 507 of the family's 1533-position model. The record is from RNAcentral.
GACGAACGCUGGCGGCGUGCCUAAUACAUGCAAGUAGAACGCUGAAGGAGGAGCUUGCCUCUCUGGAUGAGUUGCGAACGGGUGAGUAACGCGUAGGUAACCUGCCUGGUAGCGGGGGAUAACUAUUGGAAACGAUAGCUAAUACCGCAUAAUAUUGACUAUUGCAUGAUAGUCAGUUGAAAGGUGCAACUGCACCACUACCAGAUGGACCUGCGUUGUAUUAGCUAGUUGGUGGGGUAACGGCUCACCAAGGCGACGAUACAUAGCCGACCUGAGAGGGUGAUCGGCCACACUGGGACUGAGACACGGCCCAGACUCCUACGGGAGGCAGCAGUAGGGAAUCUUCGGCAAUGGACGGAAGUCUGACCGAGCAACGCCGCGGGAGUGAAGAAGGUUUUCGGAUCGUAAAGCUCUGUUGUAAGAGAAGAACGAGUGUGAGAGUGGAAAGCUCACACUGUGACGGUAUCUUACCAGAAAGGGACGGCUAACUACGUG